Molecule: transfer RNA, 86 nt
Filed under: Candidatus Pacearchaeota archaeon
Lineage: Archaea; Nanobdellati
Description: tRNA-Leu
Rfam family: tRNA
About the family: Transfer RNA (tRNA) molecules are approximately 80 nucleotides in length. Their secondary structure includes four short double-helical elements and three loops (D, anti-codon, and T loops). Further hydrogen bonds mediate the characteristic L-shaped molecular structure. tRNAs have two regions of fundamental functional importance: the anti-codon, which is responsible for specific mRNA codon recognition, and the 3' end, to which the tRNAs corresponding amino acid is attached (by aminoacyl-tRNA synthetases). tRNAs cope with the degeneracy of the genetic code in two manners: having more than one tRNA (with a specific anti-codon) for a particular amino acid; and 'wobble' base-pairing, i.e. permitting non-standard base-pairing at the 3rd anti-codon position.
Source: RNAcentral
GGGGUAAUGUCGGAAUGGUAUACGAUGCGGGCUUAAAACCCGCUGGCCUAAAGGCCGUGUGGGUUCGAAUCCCACUUACCCUACCA